AGAGUUUGAUCCUGGCUCAGAUUGAACGCUGGCGGAAUGCUUUACACAUGCAAGUCGAACGGCAGCACGGGGGCAACCCUGGUGGCGAGUGGCGAACGGGUGAGUAAUACAUCGGAACGUGCCCAGUCGUGGGGGGAUAACGCAGCGAAAGCUGUGCUAAUACCGCAUACGAUCUACGGAUGAAAGCGGGGGAUCGCAAGACCUCGCGCGAUUGGAGCGGCCGAUGGCAGAUUAGGUAGUUGGUGGGGUAAAGGCUCACCAAGCCGACGAUCUGUAGCUGGUCUGAGAGGACGACCAGCCACACUGGGACUGAGACACGGCCCAGACUCCUACGGGAGGCAGCAGUGGGGAAUUUUGGACAAUGGGCGCAAGCCUGAUCCAGCCAUUCCGCGUGCAGGAUGAAGGCCUUCGGGUUGUAAACUGCUUUUGUACGGAACGAAAAGCCUUCUUCUAAUACAGGAGGGUCAUGACGGUACCGUAAGAAUAAGCACCGGCUAACUACGUGCCAGCAGCCGCGGUAAUACGUAGGGUGCAAGCGUUAAUCGGAAUUACUGGGCGUAAAGCGUGCGCAGGCGGUUAUGUAAGACAGUUGUGAAAUCCCCGGGCUCAACCUGGGAACUGCAUCUGUGACUGCAUAGCUAGAGUACGGUAGAGGGGGAUGGAAUUCCGCGUGUAGCAGUGAAAUGCGUAGAUAUGCGGAGGAACACCGAUGGCGAAGGCAAUCCCCUGGACCUGUACUGACGCUCAUGCACGAAAGCGUGGGGAGCAAACAGGAUUAGAUACCCUAGUAGUCC
Molecule: ribosomal RNA, 794 nt
Filed under: uncultured bacterium
Lineage: Bacteria
Description: bacterial SSU rRNA
Rfam family: Bacterial small subunit ribosomal RNA
Source: RNAcentral